AGAGGAAGAGUCGGCGGUGCCAGGAGAUUUUGAUCAGGGGACUCAGCACCCCAGCGCGUAGGUUGUGAUUCGGACCGUGUUUGAGUCAGUCUACAAUUUCUAGUUGCAGGAUGCAUAGACAUGGAUGGGAUGAGCGCAGAGUGCGAGUAUGAGAGUCAUUAGUUGCUUAGUCUAUCUUGAUACCAAUGAAUAUUGAAAGCUUUUGUAAAUGAACCAAUUUGAUUAUCUGGUCAUGUUGGAUUUAUAUAUUUGAUUUAAGUGAUUAACUGUGGAAUUAUCGAA
This is a non-coding RNA of Phoenix dactylifera (date palm), 282 nucleotides long. NCBI's taxonomy places the organism in Eukaryota, Viridiplantae, Streptophyta, Magnoliopsida, Arecales, Arecaceae. The record is from RefSeq and is a predicted model, not a curated record.